This 162-nucleotide ribosomal RNA is filed under the name uncultured bacterium. RNAcentral's name for it is "partial 16S ribosomal RNA". It matches the Rfam family "Bacterial small subunit ribosomal RNA", at positions 393 to 539 of the family's 1533-position model. The record is from RNAcentral.
CAUGCCGCGUGUGUGAAGAAGGCUUUCGGGUUGUAAAGCACUUUCAGUGAGGAAGAAGGCCUUGGGGCGAAUACCCCCGAGGAAGGACAUCACUCACAGAAGAAGCACCGGCUAACUCCGUGCCAGCCACGGCGGUGACUGAGCGGGCUGGCAAGGCGCAUA